RNAcentral lists this non-coding RNA (62 nucleotides) under Heterosigma akashiwo. The record is from RNAcentral. Lineage: Eukaryota; Raphidophyceae; Chattonellales; Chattonellaceae.
UGCCUUCGCCGGUAAGACCCUCCAGGUGUCUACCCCGGUCCUGAAGGAUGCCAUCAAGACCC